This is a long non-coding RNA of Hemibagrus wyckioides, 343 nucleotides long. RefSeq lists it as uncharacterized. NCBI's taxonomy places the organism in Eukaryota, Metazoa, Chordata, Actinopteri, Siluriformes, Bagridae. The record is from RefSeq and is a predicted model, not a curated record. The transcript is spliced from 3 exons.
GUACAGGUCAGCAACUUUUCCAGCACCAGGGAGUCAGGACAGAGGACUUUGUGCUUUUUGUUGUCCUGGAGAAUAAAAGCAGAAUUUUAUUUUAUUUUUACUUGUCUCUUUAUCUCCAAGGCUGCAGGUAACUCCUCCCUCGCUCGUGUACUGACCCAGUGCUGUCUCGAGGAAGAACACGGGGAUUCCACAAGUGGCAAGAAAUAUCAGGCUUACCUCCUCCAUUUUUAUAACAGAGGUAAGGAAAGCGCCACACGUUGCCUAGACCAAUGAUUUCUCCAGCUACAGAGAGCACAAACUCCAGUUUAUUGCUCCACUGGCCUCUGUCCUUCAUCUUCUCGUC